RNAcentral lists this ribosomal RNA (529 nucleotides) under uncultured Alphaproteobacteria bacterium. RNAcentral's name for it is "bacterial SSU rRNA". It matches the Rfam family "Bacterial small subunit ribosomal RNA", at positions 38 to 611 of the family's 1533-position model. The record is from RNAcentral. Lineage: Bacteria; Pseudomonadati; Pseudomonadota; Alphaproteobacteria.
GGCGGCAGGCCUCAAACAUGCAAGUCUAGGGGGUGUAGCAAUACAUCACCGGCGGACGGGUGCGUAACACGUGGGAAUAUACCUUUCGGUACGGAACAACUGCGGGAAACUGCAGCUAAUACCGUAUACGUCCUAGCGGAGAAAGAUUUAUCGCCGAAGGAUUAGCCCGCGUUCGAUUAGCUAGUUGGUGAGGUAAUGGCUCACCAAGGCGACGAUCGAUAGCUGUUCUGAGAGGAAGAUCAGCCACACUGGGACUGAGACACGGCCCAGACUCCUACGGGAGGCAGCAGUUGGGAAUCUUGGACAAUGGGGGAAACCCUGAUCCAGCCAUGCCGCGUGAGUGAUGAAGGCCUUCGGGUUGUAAAACUCUUUCGACGGGGACGAUAAUGACGGUACCCGUAGAAGAAGCUCCGGCUAACUUCGUGCCAGCAGCCGCGGUAAUACGAAGGGGGCUAGCGUUGUUCGGAAUUACUGGGCGUAAAGCGCGCGCAGGCGGCUAUCCAAGUCAGUGGUGAAAGCCCGGAGCUCA